GUCUACGGCCACACGACCCUGAACGCGCCUGAUCUCGUCUGAUCCCAGAAGCUAAGCAGGAUUGGGCCUGGUUAGUACUUGGAUGGGAGAAUGACUGUUAUCAAAAAGUCCCAAAACAAUAAAUGCUAUUGAAAACA
Molecule: ribosomal RNA, 137 nt
Filed under: Castor canadensis (American beaver)
Lineage: Eukaryota; Metazoa; Chordata; Mammalia; Rodentia; Castoridae
Source: RNAcentral